Molecule: ribosomal RNA, 468 nt
Filed under: Filifactor alocis
Lineage: Bacteria; Bacillati; Bacillota; Clostridia; Peptostreptococcales; Filifactoraceae
Description: bacterial SSU rRNA
Rfam family: Bacterial small subunit ribosomal RNA
Source: RNAcentral
GAUGAACGCUGGCGGCGUGCUUAACACAUGCAAGUCGAACGAACGACUAUUAACAGAACCUUUCGGGGCGAAGAAUAUAGAAGUUAGUGGCGGACGGGUGCGUAACGCGUGGGUAAUCUGCCUUUGUCAAAGGAAUAACUAUUCGAAAGAAUAGCUAAAACCGUAUAACAUAUUAAUAGGGCAUCCUAAUAAUACCAAAACGAUAGUGGACAAAGAUGAGCCCGCGUCUGAUUAGCUAGUUGGUGAGAUAAAAGCCCACCAAGGCAACGAUCAGUAGCCGACCUGAGAGGGUGAACGGCCACAUUGGAACUGAGACACGGUCCAAACUCCUACGGGAGGCAGCAGUGGGGAAUAUUGCACAAUGGGGGGAACCCUGAUGCAGCAACGCCGCGUGAGUGAAGAAGGCAUUCGUGUCGUAAAACUCUGUAGUAGGGGAAGAAAGAAAUGACAGUACCCUAAAAGAAAGCC